GGAUAGACCCAUCAAGAUUUUCCUCUUGGGCUCCCUACUUGUCUCCCGAGGACCAGAAUAAUUCUUAGAUUUUUUUUUAUCUUUUCUUCUCUUUUCAACCAAAAAGGCAUAGUUAUUAAAUCUUUUUGUUUUUCAAUUGAGUUCUCUUUCUUUGUCUUUGCAUUCGUCUGCAACCAGAGGUAAGUGUUUCGAGUGUAAGACAACAUAUUUGAUGUCUGAUUUCCAUCAAGAUAUAAAGUAAUGCAUAAGUGCGGGGUGGGACAAGACUCCAUUUUUUCUCAAUAAUUCAAAGCCUUAUUUCUUGGACUGUUAUAUCAUUACAUAAUUUUGAUUUGUGAUCAGUUACUAUACUGGAAAACUCAUAUUUUACUAUGAUGUUGUUAAUACAAGGAACUUUGAGGGACCUUUCAAAGACAACACUCCAACUGGGGCAGAAUCAAUUCUGUUAAUGCAGGGGAUGAGGUAAUUCACUCAUAACUAUUGUACGACUAAUUUUGUGCACUCUUUCUGAUAUUUGUGCUAUGCCGGAAUGAAAAUCUUGAGGCCUAACGGAUGGUUUCUGGAGCCGCAGAAAAUGGUAAUAUUUCAUCAUGAUGAAUUUGUGCCCGUAGCAUCUUGCAGUUUGAACUCUCAACCGGAUGGGUUUGAUUUUGUUAGCAAAAGGGACAAAUAAUACAACUUCAGUUAACCAUCACCCGUCAACAAAAUGGCCAUCCACAUCCAAUUUAAGAAAAAUAUGGCAAUGGUAUUGCCUUCAUACUUUUCUUUUUUACUCCUAGGGGUUGUGGGGUGGGGUGGGGUUGGGGGGGGGGGGUGCUGAGAGUCGAUCAACUAUGAAAUAUCAGUUUCUAUUUCAAGGCUGUUAUAUAAAACACUAUAAUAGAAUAAUCAACUUUCUUGUGGACUUAGUAUAUCAAUGUAGACCAUCAAUGGAAUGGACUAAGACAUUUUUUCUUUUUGCGUCAUUUGAGAGUCUCAAAUUGCGAUAAACAAUACCAUUUUUGUGAUUUGGACAAUAUGAAAUAUGAAGAUUGUUGAUACAAAACUUAUACAUUUGAGUAUGAACCGCCUUAUUAUCGGGAAAAAGUACGUUAA
This 1095-nucleotide long non-coding RNA is filed under the name Nicotiana tabacum (common tobacco). RNAcentral's name for it is "long non-coding RNA (NTAB_LNC014340)". The record is from RNAcentral. Lineage: Eukaryota; Viridiplantae; Streptophyta; Magnoliopsida; Solanales; Solanaceae.